UGGGGAUGGCCAAAAUAUGAGGAAAGGUAGCCCUUGGUGAAUGGCCAUACAAUAAUGGUGCCACAUUCUCAGAGUGUUCCUGCUGGGAAUGGUGUUCAUGGAGCAGGCAAGAAAGAGCACUUCUCCAGCCUCCAGCCUCACGUAUUCUCUCUCAGGCCUGCAGAGAAAACAUAAGAAUUCCCUCCAGAAAAAGAAACACAUCUGACAGAAUGUAAUGCCAGCCUGUACUAAACAACUCCCACAACUCCGAAUUCUGUUCCAUACAGCAAGGAUGGCUUCUUUUCUUGUUUAGGUUGGACAAGCUAUUGCAAACCCUGGAUCCUUAACAUUCUUCAGAGUCAUGGCCUGAAGAUCAAUUCCCCUGCCCUACCAAUAAAACCCACAAAAGAAAGCAAGACAAGACAAGAAAAACCCAAAAUCCCUCUUGUUCAUGUGAAACUUGGAUGCAGAUUAUGCCAAGACCUUCCCACCCUAAACACACACGACAGGCAGACCAGGGGUGAAACAGAGAGGAUGAGGGUGAAGGCAAGCUUACUUUUUGCCAUUACUAGUUCUCCAGGGGCCUCGAGGACUCUUAGAUCUAUCUGUUUUGAAUUGUAUAGGUCCCACGACAGCAGGAAAUAGGUGCCCGAAGCUCCUCUUUUUUUCUCCCCCAA
RNAcentral lists this long non-coding RNA (656 nucleotides) under Heterocephalus glaber (naked mole-rat). Its description in RNAcentral is "lncRNA (ENSHGLG00000050066.1)". Lineage: Eukaryota; Metazoa; Chordata; Mammalia; Rodentia; Bathyergidae. The record is from RNAcentral.